RNAcentral lists this unclassified non-coding RNA (1422 nucleotides) under Hevea brasiliensis (rubber tree). Lineage: Eukaryota; Viridiplantae; Streptophyta; Magnoliopsida; Malpighiales; Euphorbiaceae. The record is from RNAcentral.
AAUUUCACAAAAACACAGCCACCUUCUCUGCUCUUCUCUCCUGUGCAGCCAGCCAUCUUCUCUUCUCUACUCUACAGCCAUAUCCACACAUCCGCCUCUCUUUACUUAUUCGCCAUGGCUGCCGAGCAAGCUCAACUGGCUGCUAUCCUUGGACCCGAUUCAGCACCAUUCGAAACCCUAAUUUCACAUCUCAUGUCUGCUUCCAACGAGCAACGAUCUCAAGCCGAGUCAAUCUUCAAUCUCAUCAAGCAAAACGAUCCUAAUUCACUCGCUCUCAAGCUUGCUAAUCUUCUCUCCUCUUCACCUCACCACGAAGCCCGUGCCAUGUCCACAAUCCUUCUCAGAAAGUUGCUUACCAGAGAUGACUCUUUCAUCUGGCCUCGCCUCACCGAAUCUACUCAGUCAGGUAUCAAAUCAGUCCUUCUCAGAUGUAUUCAACACGAAGAAUCAAAAUCCAUCAUCAAGAAGCUUUGCGACACUAUUUCCGAACUUGCUUCUUCAAUUCUCCCUGAAAACAAUUGGCCUGAGUUGUUACCCUUUAUGUUUCAGUGUGUUACUUCAGACGUACCUAAAUUACAGGAAUCUGCCUUCUUGAUCUUUGCUUUAUUAGCUCAAUAUGUUGGGGAGAUGUUAGUUCCUUACAUUAAGGACUUGCAUACAGUGUUUAUGCAGACAUUGAAUAACUCGCCUAAUCCUGAUGUCAGGAUUGCGGGCUUAAGUGCUGUCAUUAAUUUUAUUCAGUGUUUAUCAAGCUCAAAUGACAGGGAUAGGUUUCAGGAUCUAUUGCCUGCAAUGAUGAAGACCUUGACUGAGGCUUUGAAUAGUGGACAAGAGGCAACUGCACAAGAAGCUUUGGAGUUGUUGAUUGAAUUGGCGGGUACUGAGCCUAGAUUUUUGAGGAGGCAGCUUGUUGAUGUGGUGGGUGCAAUGUUGCAAAUAGCCGAGGCUGAGAGUUUAGAAGAGGGGACAAGACAUUUGGCUAUUGAAUUUGUUAUUACCUUGGCUGAGGCUAGGGAAAGGGCUCCUGGAAUGAUGAGGAAAUUGCCACAGUUUAUCAGUAGGCUGUUUGCUAUUUUGAUGAAAAUGUUGCUGGAUAUCGAUGAUGAACCUGUCUGGCAUAGUGCUGAAGUUGAGCAUGAGGAUGCGGGGGAAACAAGUAACUACAGUGUUGGUCAGGAAUGUUUGGAUCGUUUGUCCAUUGCGUUGGGCGGCAGUACAAUUGUUCCUGUUGCAUCAGAGCAGUUGCCUCCUUACUUGGCUGCUCCAGAAUGGCAAAAGCACCAUGCUGCGCUCAUUGCGCUUGCUCAGAUUGCUGAAGGUUGCACAAAGGUAAUGAUUAAGAAUUUGGAGCAAGUCGUGAACAUGGUUUUGAGCUGUUUCCAAGAUCCUCAUCCUCGAGUGAGAUGGGCAGCUAUUAACGCA